GAUGAACGCUGGCGGCGUGCCUAAUACAUGCAAGUCGAGCGAACAGAUAAGGAGCUUGCUCCUUUGACGUUAGCGGCGGACGGGUGAGUAACACGUGGGUAACCUACCUAUAAGACUGGGAUAACUUCGGGAAACCGGAGCUAAUACCGGAUAACAUUUGGAACCGCAUGGUUCUAAAGUGAAAGAUGGUUUUGCUAUCACUUAUAGAUGGACCCGCGCCGUAUUAGCUAGUUGGUAAGGUAACGGCUUACCAAGGCAACGAUACGUAGCCGACCUGAGAGGGUGAUCGGCCACACUGGAACUGAGACACGGUCCAGACUCCUACGGGAGGCAGCAGUAGGGAAUCUUCCGCAAUGGGCGAAAGCCUGACGGAGCAACGCCGCGUGAGUGAUGAAGGGUUUCGGCUCGUAAAACUCUGUUAUUAGGGAAGAACAAACGUGUAAGUAACCGUGCACGUCUUGACGGUACCUAAUCAGAAAGCCACGGCUAACUACGUG
Molecule: ribosomal RNA, 497 nt
Filed under: uncultured bacterium
Lineage: Bacteria
Description: partial 16S ribosomal RNA
Rfam family: Bacterial small subunit ribosomal RNA
Source: RNAcentral